Molecule: ribosomal RNA, 234 nt
Filed under: uncultured bacterium
Lineage: Bacteria
Description: partial 16S ribosomal RNA
Rfam family: Bacterial small subunit ribosomal RNA
Source: RNAcentral
UGAGUAACCUGCCCUUAACUCUGGGAUAAGCCUGGGGAAACUGGGUCUAAUACCGGAUAUGACUCCUCAUCGCAUGGUGGGGGGUGGAAAGCUUUAUUGUGGUUUUGGAUGGACUCGCGGCCUAUCAGCUUGUUGGUGAGGUAAUGGCUCACCAAGGCGACGACGGGUAGCCGGCCUGAGAGGGUGACCGGCCACACUGGGACUGAGACACGGCCCAGACUCCUACGGGAGCAG